GACGAGGAGAAGGCAGAAGGUGAGCAGAUGGCCUCCAAGAAGUCAUCUAUUUCACAGCUUCCACGAUGAAUAAUAACCUUCCUUUACAACAGAUGGAUCAAACUGGGUUUUAAAAAAACCUGCUGGAAGGAGAGGACUGUGUGACCAUGGACCUUCUGGCACUGCCUGGGUGAAACCUGAGGGGACGAGCACAUGGACACACUUCCUACCAUGUUGAUGCCACACAGCAGGUCCCCAAAGUGACCAGUCUGAGACUCAGUGGAGCAAGAACUUCACCUGAUGUCCACCAUGUCCCUCUGGCCCUGAAUAAAGAGCAGAGGAGAAUUUCCUGGCCUCACCAUGUUCCACCUCUGAAGAGGACACUUAGAAGGACCUUACCCAACAAUGUCUACGAAUGCUUUUCCAAGAGGUUUCUCUUCAUACUGGACUCCAUACUUGGCACAUAAGGACUUCACCAAAGGUUUCACCUUCCAGAAGUUGUGCCGUGGCAUUGUUGGAAACAGGCUUGAAGAGAGAAAGAGAAAACAAACCUGAGGGAACUCCAGAGAAUAACCCCACGGGAGGGGCAUCUCUGGCUGCCUCCUCAUGGGGGCUAAUUAGUAACAGCUUAUCCUCAAGCUCCACAAGCAGAGGAAGGGGUGAGAGGCAGAGAGAGGUGUCUGUGCUUUACAGUCCUCUGUUCCGAGGAGCCUUGUGGAAACUGAAUGCAUUUGUCACCUCUGGAAGCUCAUGGAACAGCAAAGCAGGACACAGAGGAGAAAGCCCAGCCUUGGAUUAUGACAUUCACACAUGAGAGAAGAUCCCCUGCAAUUCCUUGUUUAUUGUCUGGCAAGUUUGGACUCAACUCCUACACCAGUAAAGGUGCCCAUUUCUUUUCAGUGCAAAGAGGGAGCCAAGAGCACCUGGUCUCCCAACCUCAUCUCCUUAGUGACAUAUCUAGAGCUCUACAGAAGUUUUUGGAGCUCCAGGAGUGUUCACACAAGGAGCCUGGAGAACCUGGACUGCUGUGAACCUGCAUUUUCACUUCCAGCACAACAACUUCCCAAUGAAGUUAGGUCCUGCAGCACUGAUAAAUCAGUCACAUCAUUCACUCUGGGCUGAGCUCUGAAAGGCUAG
Molecule: long non-coding RNA, 1116 nt
Organism: Apus apus (common swift)
Lineage: Eukaryota; Metazoa; Chordata; Aves; Apodiformes; Apodidae
Exons: 6
Source: RefSeq, a predicted model, not a curated record